CCCCAAAGCUGCUGCUGCUCAGAGGUGACACCCCCUCUUGGUGUGGGACUCAGGGUCCAGCCUGGAGUCUGACAGCUGCAACUCCAGGAAGGGGUUGAGACAGGAGAGCCCGGCCCCAGCUUCCUCUGGGCGGGGCACCCACACCACAAGUUCUUAGGCCACCGGGGCAGUGGCCCCAGAUGCCAGCUUGCCCGAAGGGAGCCUGACGCUAGGAGGAGCCAUGGGAGGCAUCCAGCUUGCUCUGCUGCUCUUCCUGCUGGGCUGGGAGCGAGGCCUCAGCCUGCAGUGCUACAACUGUACUAAGAACAUGGAUAGAGCCAAAGGGUGCCAGCCCGCCCAGUGUGCCACAUCUGACAGCAUCUGCGUCAGGGUUAAGUUGACCAUGGCCUUUAGCAAUGGAACCAGAAACCACGAGCAGUACAAGGGCUGCGUACCCUCCUGUGCGGAGAUCAAACAAGAAAUGAGCCUGAUCUCCGGGCAUAUCAUUCCGGAGACCGAGAACGAGCCCGUCGCCAUGAUGUAUAUAGUGAAGGAGGUGACUUGCUGUGAAGAGGACCUGUGUAACGGGGGACCCCGGCCCAGGCGCAGCCCCUGGGCCCUGGCGGCGGGGCUCCUGCUCAGCCUCGGGCCCGCCUGCCUCUGGGCCCUGCUGUGAGCGCCCGGCUGGCCACGCAAACCAGGGAACCACGCGGGGUGCUUCAUGCCGCGGGUCCUGGAGCAAGCGCGCGGGUACACCUGCGCAUGCGUACAUAUGCACCCGCACGCACACUCACACACGCGCGCGCGCGUGCACAUUUGCACCAGUUCGCACGCGCACAGAUGCACGCACACAUUCACACGUGCACAGGCUCUCCUGCACCCCCCACCCCCACCAGCCUGCCCCGUUUUGCAAACACCAUCAGUUGACCACUGACCCAGGACGCAGGGGCCGCUAGUCCCGACAGCGCCGCCCGGGGUCCCUCCAACGGGGUGCCAACGACGGAGGGAGAAUAAACGCUUUCUACACCCCGGUGUUCUUCGCUUGCCAUUGGACCCGGCAGGGCAGGGCGGGGGCUGGUGUGGCCUGCCCGGGAGGGGGCUCAACUUCCGCGUGGUUCUCCCUGAGCCGGGCGAGCCCCUGUGGCCCGAGGGACUAUGACCGGGGUCAGCUCUGCGCGGCCGGGACCCUCCCCGGGGGCAUCCGCCCAGGGCGUCCGGUGGCCUAUUCAUGGGAGCGGGGUGAGCACCCUCCGCAGAGGCAGGGGCAGGUUGGGGAGGGGGGCCUGGGCCGGGUCCUCCCUCCUCACCCCAGCAGCCACACACCCUGAUGAGGGCGUGUAUGCGGGCAGGGCUGCUCUGCGGGCAGAGGAGUUAGAAGAACCAGGGCUGGUGGGCCCGUCUCCAGCCCGCUGAUGUCGCCACGCUGUCCCCGGGUGACCUGGGGCCCACUUCCCUGGCCUGCCCCGGGGACCUCUCUCUGGCGACCGGGGCCCUGGGCGCACGCUGGGUCCCCUGCCCCUGCGGCAGCCACGGCCAGAGCCGCU
RNAcentral lists this long non-coding RNA (1523 nucleotides) under Suricata suricatta (meerkat). Its description in RNAcentral is "lncRNA (ENSSSUG00005014365.1)". Lineage: Eukaryota; Metazoa; Chordata; Mammalia; Carnivora; Herpestidae. The record is from RNAcentral.